GAUUGAGGAUAUUUCAAGACAUGGCCCUCCUACAGGAUACAAUGAGGAUUCUUUCAAAAAGAACCAUGCAACAAUUAGAAAUUUGCUGUUUCUGCAGAAUCAAAAGGAGCAGGGACACCAGUAUUAAGUUUGCAAAGAACUAUAAAUGAAGGCAUGUUUUAUCUGGUGGAUUUUUUGAAGAGCAGGAUAGAUGGUAAUAUAUAUAAUAUAAAAUUGAGAAUGGAAAUGGGGAAAUUUGUGUCAAAGAGACAACAACCCGACCAUAGAACAGAUAACAGCAGAAGGUCACCAAUAGGUUUUCAAUGCAACGAGAAAUUCCCGUACCUGGAGACGUCCUUAAGUUGGCCCCUAAACAAAUAUAUAUACUUGUUCUAAAUAUACUUAUUUUUUUUAAUUUGAAGAGAGUAUAAAUUGGCUUUGAAAUAAAUGAAAUAUAUACAAUUGAAACUACAUUGUAUCUUACAAGAAUUAAGCCUCAGAUAUAAAAUUGAUUAAUGGAUUUGAAAUUUAUUCAUAUAAUUUUUCGUAUAUAAAUGACAGUGCAUCACAAGCUUCUAAAGGCUGGUUGGUAUAAUUAUACAUGUUAAUUGAAUGCAUAUGUAUAAAACUGCAAUAUAUUGUAUUUCAUAGAUAUAGGAAGAUGUGGUGUGAGUGCCAAUGAGACAACACUCCAUCAAAAUAACAAUUUAUAAAAGUAAACCAUUAUAGGUCAAUGUAUGGCCUUCAACACGGAGCCUUGGCUCACACCGAACAACAAGCUAUAAAGGGCCCCAAAAUUACUAGUGUAAACCAUUCAAAAGGGCAAACCAACGGUCUAAUGUAACAGUAAAUAUGGUCCGGUAGUAAAAUUUGUCCGCCAGACAUUUUUUCCUAGUUAAUCAAGUCCAUGUCUAUGAUUUUACUAGGAAAAGAAGUCCCAGGACAAAUAUUCAUAGGAAAAGAAGUCCAUAGCUAGUAAAAUAUGUCUGGCACUUAUUUUCCUAAGAAAAUUUGUCCCAAGACUUAUUUUUCUGUUAGUUUUCCUUAAAUUUCAAAAAUCAUUCAAAAUGAAAAAAAAGGAAAAAAAAUCUUAGUUAAGAUCGGAAAAUUUCAUUUAUUCCCUUAUUAAAAGAAAGGACAUGUACGUUAUAAGCUAGAUAUGUUUAAGACAUGGACAUGAUAUCCUUAUAAAAUUUAAUCUGGGACAUACAUUUAACUAAAAUAUUGAUACACAACUGAAAACAAUAUUAAAACAUAACAGUUAGAUUUACCUUUUAAAAUAAAGGGGAUGGACAUUUUUACCUAGGAAUAUUAAUGACAUGGACAUGAUUUACUAGGAAAAAUAGUCUGGAGAAAUGAAUGCUAUUUUAAAAAUAUUAAUGCUCAACUCUUUUAACAAUACUAAAACAUGAAUAUUGAGUUUCCAUUGUUUUUAAAAAAGAAAUUUAAAAUAAAGGACAUGGACAUUAUUACCUAGGAAUUUUAAUGACAUGGACAUGAUAUCCUGGGAAAAUUUGUCUGGGGACAUACAAUUUAUUAAAAAAAAAAUGAUACACCGAUCUAUAACAACAUUAAAACGUAAUAUUUAUAUCCAUCUUUUAGAAUUAAGAACAAGGACGUUUUUAUCUAGGGAUAUCAAGGACAUGGACAUGAUUUCCUAGGAAAAAUAAUCUUGGGACAUUAAUUUUAUCAAAAAUAUAAACAUGCAACUCUCAAUAUAAAAACAUAAAAUUUAAAUUUCCAUUGUUUAUAUGUAAUUGAAUUUAUUAUAGGAUUUUAUAGGACAUGAUUUCCUAGGUAAAAUAGUCUGGGGACAUAGAUUACUAACAUUGGACUAAAUAUACUACUAAAUUCUGUAAACCAUGGACUUUUUAUACGACCGCAAAAAUUUAAAUUUUUUGGUCGUAUAUUGCUAUCACGUUGGCGUCGUCGUCGUCGUCCGAAUACUUUUAGUUUUCGCACUCUAACUUUAGUAAAAGUGAAUAGAAAUCAAUGAAAUUUUAACACAACGUUUAUGACCACAAAAGGAAGGUUGGGAUUGAUUUUGGGAGUUUUGGUCCCAACAUUUUAGGAAUUAGGGGCCAAAAAGGGCCCAAAUAAGCAUUUUCUUGGUUUUCGCACUAUAACUUUAGUUUAAGUGAAUAGAAAUCUGUGAAAUUUUGACACAAGGUUUAUGACCUCAAAAGGACGGUUGGGAUUGAUUUUGGGAGUUUUGGUCCCAACAGUUUAGGAAUUAAGGGCCAAAAAAGGGCCCAAAUAAGCAUUAUUCUUGGUUUUCGCACAAUAACUUUAGUAUAAGUAAAUAGAAAUCAAUGAAAUUUAAACACAAGGUUUAGAACCACAAAAGGAAGGUUGGGAUUGAUUUUUGGAGUUGAGGUCACAACAGUUUAUGAAUUAGGGGCCAAAAAGGGGCCCAAAUAAGCAUUAUUUUUGGUUUUUGCACCAUAACUUUAGUAUUAGUAAAUAGAAAUCUAUGAAAUUUAAACACAAGGUUUAUGACCAUAAAAGGAAGGUUGGGUUUGGUUUUGGGAGUUUUGGUCCCAACAGUUUAGGAAUAAGGGGCCCAAAGGGUCCAAAUUGAAACUUUGUGUGAUUUCAUCAAAAAUUGAAUAAUUGGGGUUCUUUUGAUAUGCCGAAUCUAACUAUGUAUGUAGAUUCUUAAUUUAUGGGCCCGUUUUCAAAUUGGUCUACAUUAAGGUCCAAAGGGUCCAAAAUUAAACUAAGUUUGAUUUUAACAAAAAUUGAAUCCUUAGGGUUCUUUGAUAUGCUGAAUUUAAAAAUGUACUUAGAUAGAUUUUUAAUUAUUGGCCUAGUUUUCAAGUUGGUCCAAAUGGGGGUCCAAAAUUAAACUUUGUUUGAUUUCAUCAAAAAUUGAAUAAUGGGUUCUUUGAUAUGCCAAAUCUAACUGUGUAUGUAGAUUCUUAAUUUUUGGUCCAGUUUUCAAAUGGUCUACAUUAAGGUCCAAAGGGUCCAAAAUUAAAACUAAGUUUGAUUUUAACAAAAAUUUAAUUAUUGGCUUAUUUGAUAUGCUUUAUCUAAACAUGUACUUUGAUUUUUGAUUAUGGGCCCAGUUUUCAAGUUGGUCCAAAUCAGGAUUUCAUAUCAAGUAUUGUGCAAUAGCAAGAAAUUUUCAAUUGCACAGUAUUGCACAAUAGCAAGAAAUAUCUAAUUGCACAAUAUUGUGCAAUAGCAAUUAAUUUUCAAUUGGAAGUUAUCUUUCUUUGUAUAGAAUAGUAGUUGAUAAUAUAUGUUGGAAAUUUUCCAGACAUGACUAUGAUGUCAUUUUCUAUUUUUAUUUCUAUUUUUAUUUGCCAAUAACUUUAUGUAAAUAACUUCAUUGGAAAUAUGCCAAUAUAAAAUGUUGCUGAUGAAGCUUUUUUCCUUAUUUAUCUAAAAUGUUUUUAGAUAAUGUAUGUUGGACAUUUGCCAGACAUGACUAUGAUGUCAUUUUCUAUUUUUAUUUGCCAAUAACUUUAUGUAAAUAACUUUAUUGGAAAUUUGCCAAUAUAAAAUGUUGCUGAUGAAGUUUUUUUUCCCUUAUCUUAUCUAAAAUAUUUUAACUUAAAAGUUGUGUCCAUACUUGUUCUCAUUUCAGAUUUCAUAAAUAAAAAGAAUUUCUUUCAAACAUUUUUUGACAGGAUUAAAUUAACAACAUAGUGAAUUGCUCAAAGGCAAAAAAAAUUUUAAGUUCAUUAGACCACAUUCAUUCUGUGUCAGAAACCUAUGCUGUGUCAACUAUUUAAUUUUAGAUUUAAAUAAGUUUGAAGAAGAAAUCUUUAAUUGAUUUGUAAAAUAUUGACAUUUGUUUUGUGUAAAAAACCCAUAUAAUGUCAAAAAUUUGAUCACAAUCCAAAUUCAGAGCUGUAUCACGCUUAAAUGUUUUGUCCAUACCUGCCCCAACUGUUCAGGGAUCGACCUCUGCGGUCGUAUAAAGCUGCGCCCUGCAGAGCACCGGGUUAUACUAGUAAUAUUUGUCCGCCCAGACAUAUUUUACCAGGACAAAUUUAUCACUUACAAUUGUUCUAUAUAAAAAACGAGAAACGAGAAACAUGUAUAAAUUUAUUAUUACAUGAACGAACGACAACUACUGUACAUCAGAUUCCUGACUUAGGACAGGUGCAAACCUUUGCAGCAGGAUUAAACGUUUUAAUGGUACCAAACCUUCUCCCUUUUUCUCAUGUUUUCUGAAACAAUAGCAUAACAUCACAACAUAGAAAAAACAUAUGUACCAAGUUGUACUUUAAAAUGAAAAUAUCUAUCUAUCUAUAAAAGUAUAGAUAUAAAUAAAUAGCUUUCAAAACACAACACAAGGUCCAAGGUAAACAAAAUAGUAGACAAGAAUGCAAAUAAUAAUUUUAUGUCAAGUAACAUAAUAGAAUAAGAAUAAUAAUUCUAGUCUUCAUUCAUGUAUUCAAUUUCAGAAAUUUUCAAUGAUGGCAUCAAAUGAUUUAAAUUUAAUUUAUUUUCAAGCUUAUGUGUAUCCUGUUUUAUGCUCUUUGGUCAGGUUGUUGUUUCUUUGACACAUUCCCCAUUUUCAUUCUCAUUUUUAUCUUCAAAAUGAAAUCAGCAUGGCCACCUUUAUUAUUGAUUGAAUAGCUUAAAAUAUUUUUGUAAUUAGCCUUCUAAUUAUAAGUCAUUAGUUUGUUGACAAAUAGCAGGUUUAUUACAAUUUUCCUCCAACCUGUGCAGAAAGCUCAACAUAGGGAUAGUAAUAUCCUGGUGUGAUACCUAACUUCUUAAAAGCUUAAUUAUCAUAAGGUAAAACUUAAAAUACAAUCUGGUAUAAUUACAAAUAGGACUUCUUUUUACCAGAAACCAAUGGACAAAAAUGAAAGCAACUAGUUUUCAACAAUCAGUCCUACAAAAAUCUUAUACUAAGCUGUUUAAGAUUAUCUAAUAUAUUCAAACAAGUAAACUUCAAGAUGAAAAUUACAAAUAAUGCAGCGUUAUAAUCUGGAAUAUCACUUACAUAGUAAGUGAGUAAAUUUUAUUUAGAGUCAAGCAUGAUAUGUACAAUUCAACAAGGUAAACAUAUAUUCAAUGUCUUAACUAUGCAUAAAAAACAAUGGUGUGAAUGGUACUAUGAAAAAUUUCUCCUAAUUCUUAUAUUUUCAGGAAACAAGCGUCAACACUGUGUAUCAUCGCCACCGGAAAUUGGGUACUAACGAAGCGGAGAGAAAUAGAAAAAAGUAAAACAAUUGAGAAUUCAUUCAAUUUAAAGAAUUUCCACUCAUUUGAUGAGGGUGCCGCUUAAGAAAUGAUUUUUUGAUAUAUAAUUCUUUAAAUUAUUAGGCCGAUAAGUACAAAAUUAAUACAAGAUUUUGUGUAAUACUCCAAAACUUGUCACUUAGUACCAGAAAAUUUCGAGGUCGAUCGUCCUCUGUCGCCCCAUUCUCAAGAUAUUGAACUGUUUUUUCAUUAUUUUUCCAGACACGUUUUAGAUUAUUAUAGUGUGGCAUCAAUUUAUGAAUUUGUUUGUCAAAAAGGUGUAUUUUAAAGAAUAUAGACCAUAAAAAAUAAAGUCUAGGGUACAGCAACUUGCUCGUGUUGACAAAUUUACUGUAUGGCAACUUGUUUUCAACUGUAUGGCAACUUGCUAAUUUUAGAACAGUUAUUUACCGUCCUUUCAAAGAAAAAAAGUAUAAGUAAUAUCUAAGGUGGGGGGGGGGGAGGGGGGGGGGUACCCUUUAUGUUAUACUGUUUUUGUCCUUUUCAAGGUUUUAAUUUGUUAAAACUUUUAUUUGACUGAUAAAUUUUAAAAACUGUUACUGUUUUCGACCCCUGUCUGUAAUCUGUUUUGUUGUCGAGCCUGCAACUUUUGUGCAGAAAGCUCGACAUAGGGAUAGUGAUCCGGCGGCGGCGGCGGCAGCGGCGGCGGUGUUACCUAACUUCUUUAAAACUUUAUAUUUUAGAAGGUGGAAGUCCUGGAUGCUUCAUACUUUGUAUGUAGAUGCGUCAUGUUACGAAGUUUUUCUGUCAGUCACAUGUCCAAUGUCCUUGCCUCAUUUUCAUGGUUCAGUGACUCCUUGAAAAAAAAGUUUAAAUUUUUUGAAAAUGUUAAAUUCUCUCUUAAUAUAAGUAAUAGGAUAACUUAUUUAGUAUGUGCGUACGUUGCAAGGUCCUCAUGCCCGUCAGACAGUUUCAUUUGACCUCGACCUCAUUUCAUGAUAGUGAACAAGGUUAAUUUUGGUGGUCAAGUCCAUAUCAGAUACUAUAAGCUAUAAGUCUUGUAUAUUCGGUGUAUGGAAGGACUGUAAGGUACAUGUCCAACCGGCAGUGUCAUCUGACCUUGACCUCAUUUUCUGGUUCAGUGGUUAUUGUUAAGUUUUUGUGUUUUGUCUGUUUUUCUUAUCAUAUCAAUAGUCUUCUAUAUUUGGUGUAUGGAAGGAUGUAAGUGACAUGUCUGGCUGGCAGGUCAUCUGCUUGACCUCAUUUUUAGGUUCAGUGGUUAUUGUUAAUUUUGUGUUUUGGUUGUUUUUUCUUAUACUAUAUGCAAUAGGUCUUUCUAUAUUUGGGUGUAUGGAAGAUUGUAAGGUGUACAUGUCUAGCUGGCAGGUGCAUCUGACCUUGACCUCUUUUUCAUGGUGGGGUCAAAGUUAAAUUUUCGAGUUUUGGUCUUUUUCUAAUACUAUAAUGCAAUAUGUUAACUAUAUUUGGUGUUGAAAUAUUUUUUAUCUAUAUAUUAUGUGCAGUUUUAUUUGCCUUGACUAUUUUCACGGUUCAUUGCUCAGUGUUAUAUUUAAUGUUUUGGUCUGUUUUUCUUAAACUAUAAGCAGUGGUCAACUAUAUUUGUUGUAUGAAAGAAUAUUAGCUGUACAUGUUCUUUCUGAACGGUUUCAUCUGACUUGACCCUUAAUUUAUGGUUUAUUGGUCAAUGUUUGGCUUUCUUGGUUUAUGUGACAGUUGAAUAAGUUUUUAUUUAGGACUAUCAACAUACUAUCAAUAAUUAGUAAAGAAGGCGAGACAUUUCAGUGUGUGCACUCUUGUUAAAAUUUGUAAUGUUGUUAACUGGUUUAUUUGAAAUUGAGAUUCCUGUUAUCUGUUACUUAAUACUUAAAGUGUUCACUGUUUUGACAUUAUUUUUCUGUUAACUGAUCUAACUGUUAUUCAGAAUCACAUUAAAAUUUGCUGUCCAUCUCUUUUUUACGUUGCUUCCGCAAAGGAGUGACAUAUUCAGCAUAUAGUAACGUACAGUUUUAAAAAUUGAGUAUAGAAAUCCUUGAUAAAAUUGAGAAUGGAAAUGAGGAAAAUGUCAAAGAAAACAGAAUCCCGAUCAAAUAGAAGAAACAACCCAACGCAACGAGAAAAUUAUCACUAGGGUGGGUGUCAUUCACAGAUAGGAAAAAAACUUAGAAUUGAACACUCAUAAUUUUUAAACACCCUCUUUCCCUUCUUCCUAAUAAAUAAGGCUUACUAUUGAGUUAUGCAUGUAAAUAUUUAUGAAAGAAAUCGUCAUAGAUUUGAUUUCCAAUGUAAUAAUGGUGAAUAUAAUCUUUUUUUGUGUUAACCAUGGCAACAAUCAGCAUUUAUUUGAUACCAAAUAUUGAAAUAGGGGGUUGAACAUGUCACAAAGAUCUAAAAAAUUGGUCCAAAGGAAAAUUUAAUUUUAUCAAUAGAGUGAUACCUUUCCUGAAACCAUAGACAUAUAUCUAUCAAAAGGUAAAAAAAUCAUAUCAUUUCUGUUUUUUCCAUAAAAUUGAAUUGAAAAGAUCGAGCGUCAAAUCUUUGUUAAACAAUAUAAAAUUUCUAAAUCUAUGGCGGUACGGAUAGGAAACGUAGGACGUUCAAACUGAAAAAUGGCUUAUAAAAUAUUCUAAAAACAAUCUAAAUGUUCAUAUAAACCACUAGGAAGGCUAUAUAUUAUUCAACUAUCUAAAAUCAAUUCAUUGUACGAAAACUUUCAUAUUUAGAAAAUUCACCAUGGCCAUAAUGCGAAACAAAACUUGUAACUGUGUAUUGAUAUACCUGAAGCUGUCUCCUAAGUGGCAAUCAUUUAACUACAAAAAGGGGGUAGAAGUUCAAUCUUGUUAUUGAAACAUAUAAUGAACCAAAAAAAAAAUGAAAUAAAUACAAGACUAUAUACAAAUGUAGCAAAGGUUACGGACUAGUUGGGUCUUGCAGGUGCAACAAAUGGGCAGUGUUAAACAUGUUUAAGAUAUCUCAUGCCCCUCUUUAUACCAAUGUAGUUAUAUAUGCCUUCUAUUUGUAAUGUAUCCAAAACGUUUAAAGGAAAGGCCACUUCUUAUCCAGCUAAAACCCUGGUAGUCCUAUGAUGAAAAUAAUUCAGAUGUAUAUGGAAUGUUUGAUAAGUUAUAUUGACCCAGAGUAUUGGACGGAAUUGUGAAAAAUAAAGUACCUUUUCAAUUUGCAAUUAGUAAAAUAACUGAACAGUGUGGCCUGGUAGAAGAGCCGCAAUGAGGACUUGGUUCUCAAAUUGAUGUCAAAUUUGCUAGUCUAAGACUUCAGAAAUGUAAAGAUGGAACAAAGCUUUUUUUUUAUAUCAGCUCAGAUUUCUUAAUUGGGACUUGGGAGAUGAAAGAGCGCUUCAAUUUGUGACACCUUACAAUUUUUUUCUGAUUUAUACACUGGUUUUGAUGAUUUAAAAUAAAAAUCAGUAAACCUUCGUAAUUCCUUUUAAUAAAUCAUGUAAGCAUGAAGUCGUAUGAAUAACCCUGACUGAGAUAACCAUAAUUAUAAGACCCCCAUAAAAAAAAAUUUCGCACCCUAUAGUAUCACUCAUUCUAUCUGUUUGUUUACACUUUCCUACGUCAUGACGAUAACCCAAGUUUGCUACGACUGAUUGACAUAAAACAUUUACUCAACAAUAUACAUAACCAGAAGAAGCCUCCCAUUUGCUGUUUGAAGCAUUUUCGAUUAUUCAUGACAUAGUCCUUUUUCUUGGAGUCGAUCACUCCGUCUGAUUUUCCAUCCGUUCAAUUGUCUGUCCAUGUGUCAAUAAAAAAAUAUGGUACUUGCGUGUGUCUUCUGAAAAUUAGUCAGCUUUAUAAAAGAUUCCUUAUGGAGCUUGACAUUUCUGCGACUUUGUACAGUGGUUUUCAAACUUUUGAAUACAUUGAAGAUAUGCACUUCCCCUUUUCAUUGCUUUUGGUUCGUUUGGAAAAAAAGGUAAAUUACAGUUGCUGUUAACUCUUAUCAGCAUUUAAAGGAGUACCGGUAGGGCCGAUUUUGGCCCCAAACUUCAGUUUCAUCUAACGAGAUUUUAGGACACUUUUAAACACUUAAGUGUCUAUUUCAAUUGAUUCGAUUAGUUAUGUAAAAGAUUUUAACUGAUUCAGUCAUAAAAACGCUCCGAUUGAAGCUUAAAUAUGAAAAAUCUAUCAAAUAUGCCAAAAAACGUCACAUUUCAGAUGGUUUUUCGUCAAAAAUGAAAGUGGCCGCAUCCGUGUUCAUCCUCAACCUUUACAUGUAUAUAUGUUAUGUAUUAUCAUCAAAUACAACUUACAUUUCAAUAUUAUGAAUGACCACGAAUGCGGCCACUUUCAUUUAAGACGGAAACCGUCUAAUUUUACUAAAAUGCUAUAAUUGUGAGAUUUAGUAAUUUAGCAUGACUUUAUGAUGCUAGUAAACGAUAUAUGUGCAUUGUAUUAUCAAAACAGCACAUAUUUAUGUAGCGAAGCAUUCUACUUUCCAAAAUAGCGAACAGAUUACAUUUUCACAAUUUUGCAAAACUGCUUAAUUCUUGGGCCAAAAAGGGGUCUUACUGAACCUACUCCUUUGUUGUUAACUGUUUUUGACAAAAUCGAGGUGUUGUUAACAUGUUAACGGACCCCCCCCCCCCAAUCUAAUUAUGCAUUUGAUAAAAUGCAUUAGAUAGAAAUACCAUUUGCUUGACAGCGUUUAAGAUGUAUGCAAAUUAUAUAUUUCAGAAAGAAACCUGACAACAAAUUAAUUCGAAAAUGCAAUUCACAAUUUGUUAAUUUCUCCUUACUUUCGAUGAACAAAGUAUUUUUCUUAAUUUUGUCUGUCCGAAUUCUCGAUCCUGUGUUCGGUGGUUGUCGUUUCUUCAUCUCUGUCUUAUUUGUUGUUUUCAUAAAUUGUUUUGUUACACUGUAUAUGAGUUAGGCCGUUAGUUUUCUUGUUAUCCUUCCACAUUUUUCUGUCGGUACUUUUAUAGCCGACAUAAGGUACAAGUUUUCGUUGUUGAAGGCCGUACGAUAGCAUAUAAUGCUUGCAUACACUUUAUUUUCCUGAUGGAUAGUUUAUCUUAUUUGCUAUCAUACCACAUCCCAUGUUUUUAUCUAAAAAAAGCUAGCACCAAGAAAAGAUGAAUGGACGGUUAUUUUAUUGAACUACACAAUUUUAACUAACAACAAACAGGACAACAUCGUUAGUAGUAUAGAACGAUAUUAAAUGUAUUUAGAUAAUAUGGUUGAAAAAAAAACUUUUUGUACAAAAUCGAAAAGCGGUACGCAACGAGGCCUUCUGAACUGAUUAACGCAUAUAUUUAAAAUUUGAUAUGUAACAUUUUGUAUAUUUGUAAGCCUGUAAGCUUUGAUAUCAACAAAUAUCGUCACUUGAUAUUGUCUCAACAGUGUUAAUUUCCUCUUAAAAUUAUAUAUGUUGCAGACGCCGUACAGACAAAAGUUGUUGUUUUGCAAUUCGCGUACAACAAACAAAUGUUUUUGUCCAUAUUCUUUUAAAAAAACAUGUUUUGACAACAAAUUUCAGUAAAUAUGAUGCCACACAUAAUAAUCUAAAACGUGUCUGGAAAAAAUAAUUGAAAAACAGUUCAAUAUCUUGAAAAUGGGGCGACAGAGGACGAUCGACCUUGAAAUUUUCUUGUACUAAGUGGCAAGUUUUGGAGUAUUACACAAAAUCUUGUAUUUUUGUACUUAUCGCCCAAUAAUUUAAAGAGGUUAAUUAUCAGAAAAUCAUUUCUUAAGGGCACCCUCAUCAAAUGAGUGAAAUUCUUUAAAUUGAAUGAAUUCUAACUUGUUUACUUUUUUUUCUAUUUCUCUCCGCUUCGUUAGUACCCAAUUUCCAGUGGAGAUGAUACACAGUGGUCAAUUAAUGUGCAAAAUAUUGGUGAGCAGCAGCAGAUAAAAAAAUUUUGGGGUUUGGCAAAGGUUAAUGAACCAAAGAGAAGGACUGGCAGUGUCACAAUGCUCGAACGACACCAGAAUAAACAUCCUGUUCUUACAACCCAGAGUGAGGAUGUCAUACUGCAUGCUCUUAUAACAUUAAAUGUAGAAACAUAUGUAGAAAAUUAUAGCUUAACCAAAGGAAAUGCUGUAACAGCCCAAAACAAAGAUUUAAUACAUAAGGAUUGAGAUACUUGGAUGAAAAUAUGCAGGUAAACUGAUAUGGCAUGAUAGCAUUUUACAUUUGGAGAAAAAAAGGGAUAUAACAUACAAUCAUGAUUACUAUUCUGAAAAAAAUAUUCACUAUACCCAUUGUUUACCAUACAAAAUGCAAGAAUAGUAGAGCAUUUAUUGCCAAUCUUCAUCAAGAUUAAUGUCUGCAAUAUGUAGAAAAGCUUUUUUACUGUAAUGCUGAGUAGAACCUGGCUUUGAUUUUAUUUUAAAUUUUUGCUAUUUCAAACUAUGUCAAACUAGGUAAAAGUACUGGAAUUGAAAAGUACAUGAAAUGGAUCAAAUCAAGCAAAUGAUGUACUGGUAUAGUGAAGGGCAAAAUCAGUAAAAUAAAUUCUCCAUAAAUGUCAUAAUUCAAAUUUAUGGAAAACUUUUUUUUUUACUUUAUACUCAGGUUAAAACAGUGUAAAAAUACACAACAUUGAUUUGGUAUACCAAGGAAUGCAUUCCUCCUCCCAAAUAUAUGUUACAUAAAAAACUUCAUUGACCGAUCACAACCAUUGCUACAUUCACACUUCAAAGACAUGGCAUCAAUUAACACAUCAUAGAAUAUACAUCAGGGCCUGAAUUUUCUGCUCUCCCUUGACACCAUUUGCAAGUAUGUUCUUGAGGAAACAAUGAUAGUUCGUCGGAAGGGAACGAUAAAUGGCUGACCUGUGUUCAGAGAGCCAUAUCUCUUGCAUGUAAAAGACACCAUUGAAGAAUUAGUAGAAAAAAAGCAGGCUAAUGCCGCUACAAGGCAGCACUAGCAUCCGCAAAGUGGAAAGGGAAUAAUAUAAGUUGAAAAACUUGUUUCCAGAUCCACUAUAAAUAAAUAAGAUUAUACUAAACUUUCAUAGAAUUGACUAUUUUCUGACAUUAGUGAAAGAGAGGCGAAAGAUAACAAAGGGGCAUUCAAACUUAUCUGACAUGACUAAAAAGGAAAAAGAACAGCAAACAUACUGACAAAGAAAACAUCACACAUAACACAAUCAGGGUUUCCCCUGGCGAUCACCAUUUUUUCGCAAUUUGUGAAAAAAUCAUAAAUGUGGCGAUUAAAAUUCGUCAUUUGCGAAAGAAUUUGGCGAAAGAAAUAUAUAUAUAUAUAUACAAUUUUAAUAUUUUCUUCCAUUUUGUUUAUUUACUUUUUUCGUGUUUCUCAGACUUUAUCUGAUCAGACAAUACUUUGAAUUCACCUUGAACUCGUUAAGAUUUUGACAGAAAAUCAAUAAUCAGGUGAUUGCAUAUUAUAGCAAUCGACAACAAAGGACUAAUUAAUAAAUGUGUUAAUUGUAAUGUAUAACAAAAUGAUAUGGUUAAAUGGUGUCCUUCAUAUGUCACACAAAGAAUGUAUUAACCACUUUGUGACGCAAUUUUAUGACAUCUCCUCUCCUUUUAAUGAUAGUCCAGGAACGAACUGUUGUUAUGACGAAAGAUGCCCAAAACCAAGAAAAUCUCUGAUUAAAAACGUUAUCCUUUGACUUUGAUAUAGAUAAUUGAUUUAUUAUGAUGAUAAUAUUAUGGUGCUAUAUACUUACUCAUUGUACAUUCCUUUUAAACACAGUUGAAUUCUACCUGUUUUAAGCUUAUUAAAAUUUGGAAUGAAUUCACACUAAUUGGUCGCAUCAAGAUUGCACCAUAUUGUAGUUUUUAUGAGAAGAAUGGAGCAUCAUGUUAAUAUUCUUGGAACAUUGUUUUAUUUUUUGUUUGGUAUAUGCAUAAACAUGGAAAACUAGUUGAUUAAGAUUAUUAUUGACAUUUAGGUUUCACUUGUAUGACAGUCAUAUGAUUUGUAGUUUUAUAAUAUACAUUCACACGAAGUUACCCAUACAUGGAUUUUUCCCUUGUAAGUACAUGUUCAGUUAUGAUUUUGCUGUUGUAAAUUAAUCUUCAAACAUUUAAAAAAAGUCAAUUACUUUAUCUCCAUCAGACAAAGUCUGUCUGUCUGUCUGUCUGUCUGUCUGUCUGUCUGUCUGUCUGUCACAAAAAGUGUUUGCAUGUAAGAAAACAUUAAAAAAUAUACUGCACACACACACAUAAAACAUAUGUAAAACGGGUGAUUUUCAGGCAUUUUAAAAACGCAUGUUUUUCAGACCUUACGUUUUACAUCCGUUAUUAAACAGGCAUUUUACACCCGUUUUGGUACAGGCGUUAAACGCAUGUUUGCUAAAACAUGCGUUGCACUUUUUGCUUUGUAUAUUAUUUCAAUUUUGAAGAAAAUUUUUUUUUAUAAAAUUUGUUUGGAAAAUUUUGCUCUAGGCUUAUAAGAGCUGGUCAGAAGUCUACACUCAUUUAUCAGUAUCAUUAUACAAGUAAAUUUUAGGACGGGAUGUAAUUGCAAAAAAAAUUGUUGGGUUGCUGGAUAGCUUUCUAAUCCACAUGUUCUUAACAUCUAUUACACAUGUACAGACUAUUUGUAUUAAUUAUAUAUAUAUAGGAUACUAACAAUGAUCCUGUUAAGCAAUUUUUAAUGACGAGGCAUUUUAUAUUUCAGGUUAGUCUGUAAGGAUUGAGGCUAGAAAUAGAAAGAGCUGACUUUUAUGGUAGGAAUAAGUACAUAUAUUAAUGAACUUUUCAACUUAUAGUAGUCACUGUAGAUUUUUCAUGUUAUAAAGUAUAGAUAAUUUUGAAGUAUCAAGAUACAAAUAAGGAAAGUCAAAAAUUUAUAUUAUUUUUUUUGUUUACCCAAUUUGUUCUGUUAUUUAGGAAUUAAGAGAUGUAGCAUGAUUACCAAUGAGACAUUUAUCAACCAGAGACCAAAUGGCAGGGAUUUAAGCAACUAAAGAUCACGUUAAGGCCUUCACCAAUGAUCAAAAUCUAUACUGUAUAGUAAGCUAUUAAAGGCCCAACAUGACAAAAUGUGAAACAAUGAAAAUGAGAAAACCGAUGCCAGAGAUAUGAUGAAGACAUAAACUAAAAAAAUAAUAAAUAAUUUAUAGAAGCAAACAACAACUUUUUUUGCAUCUUUUUUGCCAACAAAGACUCAUAGUUAUUUGCAUAUUUGCAUAUAUUGUCUUGAUUGAAAGAUAAGUUUAAGAAUGUAUAUUUCUUUUUCAGAUAACUUUCACUGUGGCUGCAAGAAAUGAUAGUGUAAUAUAACUGUAGCAAUACAGAAUUUAAAGUGUAAUAUAACUGUAGCAAUAAAGAAUUUAAUUCAGAAUAUUUUUUGUGUAAGUUUGAAAAAAAAUAUUUAUAGUUUAAAAUGUAUGAAGAUUCUAUCCAUUUUCAGCAAGAUUAGAAGUUGUAUGUUAACAUGAAUUUGAAAUUAAAAAGUUUGUCUUUCCUUUUUCCAUAAGGACCAAUUUUACUUAAAUAUAUACUGUAGAUAUAUAAAAUUAAAUAUUGGUCCUUGUCUAGUCAAAACACUUCCAGUAUGUUAAGAAUGGACAAUCUAAAAAAAGUGCAUCUGACAUAUUUAUUUAAAAAACUUUAUUUCUAAUGACACAUGGACAAAAGAAAUGAGGACAGUAACAUUGGCAGCCAGGAAGCAGCUCCAUGGAAGAUGGUCAAAUAAAUCUUAAACAAAGUCUGAGCUCAAACAAAAUAAGAAAACAACUGUAUUUAAGCUAAUCAAUUUCUUCAUAUAUUUUCUAGAAAUAUUUGAUAAAAAUUGCAAAUUUAUAGACAACAAAAAGUAUACUUAUUUUCAGCAUGCAAAAGACCAUUGGAGAAUUAUUUUACCAGUAUAAUAUUUUGGAUAACAUGUACAUUACAAGAUUCUAUUAAAAUAGCAAAAGUAAAUCCUUAGGUAGGAAUAAAACUAACUCAAUCAUUGUCAAUUGACAACUUUUGAGUUCAAUGCAUUUCCGUCAAAAACUUUUAGUGAACAUCAUUCUUGCGUUUAGGGGCGUCGUCAGUUUCGUUCCAAAGUUGAGCAAGUGGUUGGAAAACUUGCACGAAUUAUUCGGCGAAUUGAAUUGUCAUAAUUGUCUUUCAGCAUUGCUGUCAUUAGGGAAUUGUGAUUAAGUACCUACAGAACAAGUAUUAUUUCUAGUUUAUCUGCACAAUGACGAUCACUAAGACGCUUGAUGAACGUUUAUAGUGCAAGGAUAAAGGCAAUUCCCUCUAUCUGGUAAAUGGCCUCAGAAAGGUGUGCAUAAUUGACAAGUUUUUAUGAUGACAGACAAACUCGAAAGUGGUCUAUUAACAGCAAGUUUUCUUCAUUCAAAGGGAGAUAACUAUAAAAUAUGCAGAUGAUAUUUGUGAAGUUGAAAUUCAAAUCAUUGACCUUUCACUUAUCUUAUGUUUUCCAUCUUAAAUAUUUAUUUUACAAACUGGUGUUGAUGUUACACUUAUGUGUACAUCUUGUAAGAAAUCAGAACGAUAUUUGGUUAAUUUUGUAUUGACAGAAAUGGAUUUCCGCUUAGCCUUAGAAAUGGAUUUGUAAAAUACAUAAUGUAUUCAUUUAAAUUCCUUUAUAGGUUCUUUCUGUGAGAUGUUUUCAUGGUGUUGGCAAAAGACUUUGUGGUCUAAUACAGAUAAAACAAAGGUAAGUACCA
Molecule: long non-coding RNA, 15790 nt
Filed under: Mytilus galloprovincialis (Mediterranean mussel)
Lineage: Eukaryota; Metazoa; Mollusca; Bivalvia; Mytilida; Mytilidae
Source: RNAcentral